CCUACGGGAGGCAGCAGUGAGGGAUAUUGGUCAAUGGGGGAAACCCUGAACCAGCAACGCCGCGUGCGGGAAGACGGUUUUCGGAUUGUAAACCUCUGUCCUCUGUGAAGAUAAUGACGGUAGCAGAGGAGGAAGCUCCGGCUAACUACGUGCCAGCAGCCGCGGUAAUACGUAGGGAGCACGCGUUGUCCGGAUUUCAUGGGUGUAAAGGGGGCGAAGGCGGGCUGUUAAGUCAGCGGGAAAAGCCCGGGGCUCAACCCCGGCGAGCCGUUGAAACUGGCGGGCUGGAGUUGGAGAGAAGUACGCGGAAUGCGCGGUGUAGCGGUGAAAUGCUUAGAUAUCGCGCAGAACCCCGAUUGCGAAGGCAGCGUACCGGCUCCACACUGACGCUGAGGCACGAAAGCGUGGGUAUCGAACAGGAUUAGAUACCCGGGUAGUC
Molecule: ribosomal RNA, 439 nt
Filed under: uncultured bacterium
Lineage: Bacteria
Description: partial 16S ribosomal RNA
Rfam family: Bacterial small subunit ribosomal RNA
Source: RNAcentral